Molecule: ribosomal RNA, 305 nt
Filed under: uncultured bacterium
Lineage: Bacteria
Description: partial 16S ribosomal RNA
Rfam family: Bacterial small subunit ribosomal RNA
Source: RNAcentral
ACAGCAGUCGCCGCGGUAACACAGAGGGUGCGAGCGUUAAUCGGAUUUACUGGGCGUAAAGCGUGCGUAGGCGGCUUCUUAAGUCGGAUGUGAAAUCCCUGAGCUUAACUUAGGAAUUGCAUUCGAUACUGGGAAGCUAGAGUAUGGGAGAGGAUGGUAGAAUUCCAGGUGUAGCGGUGAAAUGCGUAGAGAUCUGGAGGAAUACCGAUGGCGAAGGCAGCCAUCUGGCCUAAUACUGACGCUGAGGUACGAAAGCAUGGGGAGCAAACAGGAUUAGAUACCCCCGUAGUCCCUGUCUCUUAUAC